GGUCCCGUCGGUUAGUGGCCCAAGCCGCCGCGUUGUCAGCGCGGAGAUCGCCGGUUCGAAUCCGGCCGGGACCGCCA
Molecule: transfer RNA, 77 nt
Filed under: Sulfobacillus sp.
Lineage: Bacteria; Bacillati; Bacillota; Clostridia; Eubacteriales; Clostridiales Family XVII. Incertae Sedis
Also listed under: 4 other names
Description: tRNA-Asp
Rfam family: tRNA
About the family: Transfer RNA (tRNA) molecules are approximately 80 nucleotides in length. Their secondary structure includes four short double-helical elements and three loops (D, anti-codon, and T loops).
Source: RNAcentral